UACGUAGGGGGCAAGCGUUGUCCGGAUUUAUUGGGCGUAAAGAGCGUGUAGGCGGUCAGGUAGGUCCGUUGUGAAAGUCGAGGGCUCAACCCUCGAAUGCCGGUGGAUACUGUCGGGCUAGAGUACGGAAGAGGCGAGUGGAAUUCCUGGUGUAGCGGUGAAAUGCGCAGAUAUCAGGAGGAACACCAAUUGCGAAGGCAGCUCGCUGGGACGUCACUGACGCUGAGACGCGAAAGCGUGGGGAGCAAACAGG
Molecule: ribosomal RNA, 253 nt
Filed under: uncultured bacterium
Lineage: Bacteria
Description: partial 16S ribosomal RNA
Rfam family: Bacterial small subunit ribosomal RNA
Source: RNAcentral